Molecule: long non-coding RNA, 1218 nt
Filed under: Bemisia tabaci
Lineage: Eukaryota; Metazoa; Arthropoda; Insecta; Hemiptera; Aleyrodidae
Description: lncRNA ENSSSA3NGG002147
Source: RNAcentral
AUGGAUGCUGGGCUGUUGGCGAGGGGUGCGGUGGGGUUGGGGGUGGUGGGUGCGGAGGCGGGGACGGGGGCGCUGUCCCAGUCGGAGGCCGGACUCGAGGUGACGAAGUACUGUCUCCUCUUCCUGAGGAGUCUCUCGAGCAUCUCCUCCUUGAGCUUGCGGAGUCGGAGGAUCGAGUUCCACUCGAGCUCCUUGGCCCGGGCCAGCUCGCCCAGGGCCGAGAUCUCCCUCUGCAGCUUGUCCGCGCUCUGGUUCAUGUCUUCCAGGCUCCCGGCCGACUGCUCCAGGUACUCCCGCACCAGCUCCCGUGGCUGCUUCCGCCUUUCUCCAGUCGCCGCUUCCUCUCCUUGAAGCGCUCGCACCCGGAGCCCGAGCCCGAGCCGGACCCGGUGUCCACUUCAUUCACCUGAAACACCAUCAAAUGACAACUUAAUCUCGGGAAAGGCUCCAAAAGGGGACAAAUCAAAAGAAAAACCCGCAACGUUUGCAAAUAGUCACAAUGGACCACUAGACAAGGUACAAGAGGUUGUUCCAAAAUCGCCGAUUUUGGCCCCUCCCUGGAUUCGGCCCAAACUUUGCUCAGAUGUUGUACUAAGUGUCCCCGAUGCUUGGGCAAAAUUUCAGCCCCCUCGGAUAAUUGGAGGGCGGGGGGCAAAGUCGCAAUUUUUUUAAAACUUUAAAAAUCGAUAUCUCGCGAACGGGUUGAGUGUAAGUGUUGCGGUUUGCGCUAAAAAACGUUAAAAAAUAUUCUCUACAGUCUCUCCUCUCCAGGCGAUCGUUGCUACGUGAAUAAAAACCUGUUGAGGUGAUUUUCCAUGAAAUUCUGCAUCUACCACACUUUGUUUGACCUUGGGGAAACGAUUCGUUCGUGAGUUAAGCGAUUUUUCUGCGCGUUACCGGUUACGCGCGGGCAACAUGUCGAUUGUCGGUGGCGCUCUAUCCCGUGCGGGCGAGGCAGAGGUUGUUUCACCACUAGGACCUUAUAUUCAUGCUGUAGGCUGUAAUUAUCGAUAUUUUCUCCUCCCCCCACCCUUCCCCUCCAAUAAAUAUUUUUUUAAUACAUCGUUAUACAGGGUAUCCCAGACCACCCGUAACAGGUCUUUUUAUCGGUUGGUUUAGGUAGUACGAAGUGGGGGACCGCGGAAUUGAAAAGGGAAUUGACCCCAAGGAAUCCGAAUAUCACGGUCCCGAAACCCCCCAGGCUCCCCUUGGGAGUAA